This 74-nucleotide transfer RNA is filed under the name Symphurus orientalis (pygmy tongue-sole). RNAcentral's name for it is "tRNA-Leu". It matches the Rfam family "tRNA". From Rfam's summary of the family: Transfer RNA (tRNA) molecules are approximately 80 nucleotides in length. Their secondary structure includes four short double-helical elements and three loops (D, anti-codon, and T loops). Further hydrogen bonds mediate the characteristic L-shaped molecular structure. tRNAs have two regions of fundamental functional importance: the anti-codon, which is responsible for specific mRNA codon recognition, and the 3' end, to which the tRNAs corresponding amino acid is attached (by aminoacyl-tRNA synthetases). tRNAs cope with the degeneracy of the genetic code in two manners: having more than one tRNA (with a specific anti-codon) for a particular amino acid; and 'wobble' base-pairing, i.e. permitting non-standard base-pairing at the 3rd anti-codon position. The record is from RNAcentral. Lineage: Eukaryota; Metazoa; Chordata; Actinopteri; Pleuronectiformes; Cynoglossidae.
GCUUCUAAAGGAUAAUUCAGCGAUUCCACUGGCCUUAGGAGCCAUUACUCUUGGUGCAAAUCCAAGUAGAAGCU